GAUGAACGCUAGCGGCAGGCUUAACACAUGCAAGUCGAACGGUAACAUAGUGCUUGCACUGAUGACGAGUGGCGAACGGGUGCGUAACGCGUAUGCAACCUACCUCUUAUUAAGGGAUAGCUCAGAGAAAUUUGGAUUAAUACCUCAUGGUAUUAUUGAUAGGCAUCUAUUAAUAAUUAAAGGUUACGGCAAAAGAUGAGUAUGCGUCCCAUUAGCUAGUUGGUGAAGUAACGGUUCACCAAGGCAACGAUGGGUAGGGGUCCUGAGAGGGAGAUCCCCCACACUGGUACUGAGACACGGACCAG
This 305-nucleotide ribosomal RNA is filed under the name uncultured Sediminicola sp. RNAcentral describes it as "bacterial SSU rRNA". It matches the Rfam family "Bacterial small subunit ribosomal RNA", at positions 28 to 334 of the family's 1533-position model. Lineage: Bacteria; Pseudomonadati; Bacteroidota; Flavobacteriia; Flavobacteriales; Flavobacteriaceae. The record is from RNAcentral.